UUAGAUUAAGAUUUCCUUUCUAGUUGCAGGCGAGAAGACCUCUGGUCAGUUCUUCUUCAUUGCUUUUGUAUCAGCCCAUUUAUAUUCUUUUUCUAAUGAAUCUAUUUGACAUACUUCUUUUUCUUUCUUUUCUUUCUACUGUAAUGAUGGAUCUAUGCAGCAGAGAUUCUUUUUGAUGUGUUAAUCGUUUUUUAUAUUAUAGGCAACAUUGGUGACAGAUUAAAAUGUUCUUGUGCAGAAUUCCUA
RNAcentral lists this long non-coding RNA (246 nucleotides) under Setaria italica (foxtail millet). RNAcentral's name for it is "long non-coding RNA (SITA_LNC002078)". The record is from RNAcentral. Lineage: Eukaryota; Viridiplantae; Streptophyta; Magnoliopsida; Poales; Poaceae.